RNAcentral lists this non-coding RNA (143 nucleotides) under Pasteurella bettyae. RNAcentral describes it as "MoCo sequence". It matches the Rfam family "Molybdenum/Tungsten riboswitch aptamer (Moco RNA motif)". RNAcentral also lists the same sequence under 1 other name. The record is from RNAcentral. Lineage: Bacteria; Pseudomonadati; Pseudomonadota; Gammaproteobacteria; Pasteurellales; Pasteurellaceae.
AUAAUAUCUGGACUCCGAGCUUGUAUUCCUAAGUUUAGUUUUUUAAAUAUGGAAGCAAAGCCUGAAUAAGUUUUCUUGUUCACAGGAUAGUAGAGAAAUUUGCUAUCCCCUCGUAUUUAGAAAGGUGUCCUUGGGGCUUAUAA